UGGGGUGCAGCUCAGUGGUGGAGCACGUGCUUAGAAUGUACAAGGUCCUGGUUCAAUUCCCAGCGUACCAA
This 71-nucleotide transfer RNA is filed under the name Cavia porcellus (domestic guinea pig). It matches the Rfam family "tRNA". Rfam says of the family: Transfer RNA (tRNA) molecules are approximately 80 nucleotides in length. Their secondary structure includes four short double-helical elements and three loops (D, anti-codon, and T loops). Further hydrogen bonds mediate the characteristic L-shaped molecular structure. tRNAs have two regions of fundamental functional importance: the anti-codon, which is responsible for specific mRNA codon recognition, and the 3' end, to which the tRNAs corresponding amino acid is attached (by aminoacyl-tRNA synthetases). tRNAs cope with the degeneracy of the genetic code in two manners: having more than one tRNA (with a specific anti-codon) for a particular amino acid; and 'wobble' base-pairing, i.e. permitting non-standard base-pairing at the 3rd anti-codon position. The record is from Rfam by way of RNAcentral. Lineage: Eukaryota; Metazoa; Chordata; Mammalia; Rodentia; Caviidae.